GGAGCAAACAGGAUUAGAUACCCUGGUAGUCCACGCUGUAAACGAUGAGUACAAGGAGUCGGGGGUGACCCCCUUCGGUGCCGCAGCUAACGCAUUAAGUACUCCGCCUGGGAAGUACGCUCGCAAGCGUGAAACUCAAAGGAAUGGACGGGGACCCGCCCAGCCAAGGUAGCAGGGCUUGGGGUUCGAAGCAACGCGAAG
RNAcentral lists this ribosomal RNA (201 nucleotides) under Clostridioides difficile. Its description in RNAcentral is "partial 16S ribosomal RNA". It matches the Rfam family "Bacterial small subunit ribosomal RNA", at positions 765 to 966 of the family's 1533-position model. The record is from RNAcentral. Lineage: Bacteria; Bacillati; Bacillota; Clostridia; Peptostreptococcales; Peptostreptococcaceae.